RNAcentral lists this ribosomal RNA (378 nucleotides) under Candida albicans. Its description in RNAcentral is "eukaryotic LSU rRNA". The stretch from base 178 to 378 matches the Rfam family "Eukaryotic large subunit ribosomal RNA", at positions 1 to 200 of the family's 3401-position model. The record is from RNAcentral. Lineage: Eukaryota; Fungi; Ascomycota; Pichiomycetes; Serinales; Debaryomycetaceae.
GCAUGCCUGUUUGAGCGUCGUUUCUCCCUCAAACCGCUGGGUUUGGUGUUGAGCAAUACGACUUGGGUUUGCUUGAAAGACGGUAGUGGUAAGGCGGGAUCGCUUUGACAAUGGCUUAGGUCUAACCAAAAACAUUGCUUGCGGCGGUAACGUCCACACACGUAUAUCUUCAAACUUUGACCUCAAAUCAGGUAGGACUACCCCCAAAUCUUAAGCAUAUCAAUAAGCGGAGGAAAAGAAACCAACAGGGAUUGCCUCAGUAGCGGCGAGUGAAGCGGCAAAAGCUCAAAUUUGAAAUCUGGCGUCUUUGGCGUCCGAGUUGUAAUUUGAAGAAGGUAUCUUUGGGCCCGGCUCUUGUCUAUGUUCCUUGGAACAGGA